GCCCCUGUAGUUAAACGGAUAUAACAGUGGACUUCUAAUCCAUCGUUCUAGGUUCGAUUCCUGGCGGGGGCACCA
RNAcentral lists this transfer RNA (75 nucleotides) under Candidatus Magasanikiibacteriota bacterium. RNAcentral describes it as "Candidatus Magasanikbacteria bacterium tRNA-Arg". It matches the Rfam family "tRNA". Rfam says of the family: Transfer RNA (tRNA) molecules are approximately 80 nucleotides in length. Their secondary structure includes four short double-helical elements and three loops (D, anti-codon, and T loops). Further hydrogen bonds mediate the characteristic L-shaped molecular structure. tRNAs have two regions of fundamental functional importance: the anti-codon, which is responsible for specific mRNA codon recognition, and the 3' end, to which the tRNAs corresponding amino acid is attached (by aminoacyl-tRNA synthetases). tRNAs cope with the degeneracy of the genetic code in two manners: having more than one tRNA (with a specific anti-codon) for a particular amino acid; and 'wobble' base-pairing, i.e. permitting non-standard base-pairing at the 3rd anti-codon position. Lineage: Bacteria; Candidatus Magasanikiibacteriota. The record is from RNAcentral.